GGGGAGAAGACGAGGGCGGGCAGGGCGAGGCGGAGCUGCCGCGACAUGGCGGUUCCGCGCGAGGCGGAUUGCCGGCCAGAGGCCGUUACCCGCCGGUAAUGGUGCCUCGCACAGAGGCCGCCCUUCACAGGGGUGUGACAGGCAUUAACCGCCCCCAAGACCGUCUCCUGGCGGGCUCCGGUCCCGGCGUGAAGGGCGGGAGUUGGCGGCGGCGGCGGCCCCCUGGCGCCUGUCCCGUCGCUGUGCUGCGUUUGGCCCCGCCGGGGUGGAGACGGGUGGCUGAAAACAUGUAUUUCGUUCACAUGUGGCCAGUUCUUCUUGGGAUUUCUUACUAAAGGGGUCAGCUUUUCCCACUCUCAAGAAUAAAACAGACUUUCACUAGACCUCCCAGAUCAAGAUGAUAUGUAAAUGUUAUAGAUGCUGUUCGGGUGCUUUUCCCCCAUCCUACCAUCUGAAUGGGCACAAUUCCCUAGUAACACAAAACUAACCUGCACUCCCCCAGUAUUUGGGAAGCUGCAUAAUAACAUACAGAAACUUUGAUUCCACUGGAUUUUUGCUACACCUUGGAGAGAAAAUAAACAGAAAAUUCCUUAAGUUCAAACUGAAUUCCUUUAGCAGUCCCUUUUCCCCACUGAUUGGCACAAGACAAAAACUGUUCUAGACCUCCCUACCUGGAAUUGUUUAGUGUACGGUAGUGAUUGUUCUUCCAAAUGGAUUUCAGCACAUGUGAUGGAAGGAAUUUUUCUUUCCUUUUAUCUUACCUCCUUUGAUGUGAAAACUACCCCCCUGCUGUGAGUUACAACAGGGCAGUUAACCAUUACAAAAAGAGCAAUUUCAGGGUGAGGGAAGUCAAAUACGCUACUGUUAUUGGUUAACGGUUAAAUUUCUCUGCUUGCUGCUGGUUUUCUUCUAACUAAUAAAGGGGAGAUCCAAGCA
This is a non-coding RNA of Phalacrocorax carbo (great cormorant), 936 nucleotides long. The record is from RefSeq and is a predicted model, not a curated record. Lineage: Eukaryota; Metazoa; Chordata; Aves; Suliformes; Phalacrocoracidae.